RNAcentral lists this ribosomal RNA (489 nucleotides) under uncultured bacterium. Its description in RNAcentral is "bacterial SSU rRNA". It matches the Rfam family "Bacterial small subunit ribosomal RNA", at positions 417 to 918 of the family's 1533-position model. The record is from RNAcentral.
UUCGGUUUUAACCUCUUUCAGUAGGGAAGAAGCGAAAGUGACGGUACCUGCAGAAGAAGCACCGGCUAACUACGUGCCAGCAGCCGCGGUAAUACGUAGGGUGCGAGCGUUAUCCGGAAUUAUUGGGCGUAAAGAGCUCGUAGGCGGUUUGUCGCGUCUGUCGUGAAAGUCCGGGGCUUAACCCCGGAUCUGCGGUGGGUACGGGCAGACUAGAGUGCAGUAGGGGAGACUGGAAUUCCUGGUGUAGCGGUGGAAUGCGCAGAUAUCAGGAGGAACACCGAUGGCGAAGGCAGGUCUCUGGGCUGUAACUGACGCUGAGGAGCGAAAGCAUGGGGAGCGAACAGGAUUAGACACCCUGGUAGUCCAUGCCGUAAACGUUGGGCACUAGGUGUGGGGACCAUUCCACGGUUUCCGCGCCGCAGCUAACGCAUUAAGCGCCCCGCCUGGGGAGUACGGCCGCAAGGCUAAAACUCAAAUGAAUUGACGGAA